Molecule: RNA transcript, 2033 nt
Organism: Silurus meridionalis
Lineage: Eukaryota; Metazoa; Chordata; Actinopteri; Siluriformes; Siluridae
Gene: mcfd2
Gene name: multiple coagulation factor deficiency 2, ER cargo receptor complex subunit
Exons: 3
Source: RefSeq, a predicted model, not a curated record
CCACAUCAUGGAGCAUUUAGACGGCGUGAUCGACAAGCCCGAGGCGGAUAUGACCCCUCAAGAACUGCAGCUUCACUAUUUCAAAAUGCACGACUACGACGGUAAUAACCUGCUCGAUGGGCUUGAGCUCGCCACUGCUAUUACACAUGUACACAAGGAGGAGAAGGGUGAGAACAGCCCACCAAUGAAAGAGCAGGACCUCAUCAAUAUUAUCGAUCAGGUCCUUCGGGAUGAUGACAAAAACAAUGAUGGCUACAUCGACUAUGCCGAGUUUGCGAAAUCUCUUCAGUAACAGUCAGGGCAUUGGAGGUGUGUGCGUGCGUGCGUGUGUGCGUGUGUGUGUGUGUGUGUGUGUGUGUGUGUGUGUGUGUGUGUGUGUGUGUGUGUGUGUGUGUGUGUGUGUGUGGGGGGGUGUUAGGAGGUAGACAGGAAAAUAGGGUUUGGGAGUAUUACUAGUGGUGUGAUAUAGACAUGUUCUGAUGGUUCAAUUAUUUUUUGUUUUUAAUUUGCAAUUUCCACUCCUCUGAUUUCAGAUAUUUCACCUCUUCUUAUUUUACCUUUACUCUCAUUCCCUCCCUCCCUUUCCUUCCCUCUCUUCUCUCAAGCCUGGAGCUCUUUCCUUACAUUUUUUAACGGGUGUCUUCCCGAUCAGGCUUUUACUGCAGGAAAUUUCAGAACACCGCAUUGCGUGAGGCGACGAAGUGCUCCAUUCUUAGCUCAGCUCUGUGCAGCGCCAGGCAGCGUGGAGCUUGCCAACGAACGAGGAGGGGGCAGUGACUUGGGUUCGGUGCCAACAUUACAGCUUGGCAAAGGUUUUCUUUUUUCCCCCCUUUUUAACAAUAUAAAAAGGCAAAGCAGCCGCUCAGAAAAAAAGACGAAGAAAACACAGACAGAAUUACAGUCAGCAAUUUCUUUUGCUUCUCAGCUCUUGCUGGAGAUUAUAAUUAGAUCCUCAAGGUUUGAAUGUGUAUCAUUCUUGUUUCUUUUACCGAAGUGAGAAAAGCAGCUGCUGUCUUACGCUGCUUACUCAUUUUUUCUUUCCCUUGCCCUGCUUUCUGUGGUUUGCCUUGGUCAGAUACCUAUUUCUUCGAACCCUGCUCUUUGUAUCCCCAUCUGUAUCCCCUAUUCUGCUUUUUUUUGUUUUGUUUUGCCACCUCAGGUUUGCAGUAGGCCAGUGGUUUAAUGUGAAUAAUAUUUGUUGUACUUUACUGCCUUCCUGGUCCUAUUCUCCUCUAACAACAAGCCUUAUUUUUAGCCCAUAGUCAGGGUUUGGUCAUUUCCUGCUGCUGGUGCAAUGCAGAGCCUUAUGGAGCUGGGACGUGGUGGAGGCACUUCCAGUCCCCAGUGUGGGUAGAAGGCGUCCUUGUAAUCAUGUGCUGAUUGGAGAACUGUUUUGAAGCUUUUGAAACAAUGGUUAAAGCUAGGGUCGAGACAGCGACUUCUACGCGGAGCCUCAGUUACACAGUAGGUCAUGAGCAGACAUAUCAGUAAUUAAGACCCAGAGGAAAACACACUCACACUCUCACUUACUCCAAAAGAUAAAAAAAAGGUUACUCUGACCUUAAGAAAUAACCAAAAUCCACUUCUUUUUACACACUUCCUUCUCACAAACACUUUUCCUUUAUUCUCAUCAGGGUUGCAGUGGAUCCAGAGACUUUCCCAGGAACACCAGUUGUGGGGCAGAUUUCAGCCUGAAUAGAACACCAGUCCAUCACAGAAUAGUCCAUCCAGAAAAUGGUUUUGAAUUUAAAUUGUAAAACUAAAACUAAAACAUUCAAAACUCAUUUGGACGUAGGAGCAUGUUCAUUUUACACACUUUACCCAUGAGCUGAAAUCCUGGCAAGAGCAACCCAGACAUCUGUGUCUGAGUCUGAGAGUCCAACGAAUCACCCCUGGGAGAAAAAGAUGGUUUGGUCCUGGACCCCCUUCAGUGUUCUGGGAGAUUUAAGACAGGGAUGAAAGAAGCCAGGACCACUCAGCGGUCACCGCUUUUUGAUUCAUCCUUCUGGGAAAGAGAACAGCAAGAUAAAAAA